UCAUUUGUGCAGUCUGCCCAAGA
Molecule: non-coding RNA, 23 nt
Filed under: Mus musculus (house mouse)
Lineage: Eukaryota; Metazoa; Chordata; Mammalia; Rodentia; Muridae
Source: RNAcentral